Pimephales promelas (fathead minnow) is the source of this 425-nucleotide non-coding RNA. The record is from RefSeq and is a predicted model, not a curated record. Lineage: Eukaryota; Metazoa; Chordata; Actinopteri; Cypriniformes; Leuciscidae.
AGAAUCAGUACUCUUGCAUAUCAGGGCUGCACAUAUUGUUCUGCCCCUCUUUGUGUUGCAUUAGAGACAUCUAGUGGUGUAAAUUUAUAUUGCAUUUGAGUUCUCAUAUUUAGUCCCUCCUCUCUUGCCGUUAUUUUUGCCCGUGUGCUUCUGACUCUGAUCUACUGAGAGGUCUCGCAGCAGUUACUCUUUUCUCUUUGCCUUGGUAGUUUUUGAAGGUCUAAGUCUUGUGUGCAGUGAAUGAAGAGCUCAGUGGAAACUUGUGAAACAUCUGUCAGUCUGUGUGUUAUUCCACAAACUUCUGCUUUGACCUGCAGACCAAACACACACUCCUGUCAGUAACUGCCUGUCAAGAUUUCAUGAAACAAUGGCAGAACUAAACACCAGCAUCAAUGGAUCAAGUGGAGGAGAUUAUGAAGAUGAAU